ACUAACCACCGGUCCUGGGAUUCAUCAUUGUGCACACCUGGCACUCAUCAUUAAGUGAACCUGUGUUUCAUUCUGAUUUACACCCGUCAUUACAGAAUACCAACUCAAAAUAUGGGAGCAGCAGGACAACCGGACAUCUCCCAGACGAUCAAUGAACAAGGUGAUCUUCUUCGUCAACACCGUAAUCAGCUGGCUCAACUGGGGACGGCCAUGGAAGAGGUCCUCCGCAGUCUACAACGUCUCAACAGCAGAGGAUAUUCUAGAACCAGUCUACCCAAUGAGUCAGCACACCAGCCCAAUCAGCAACCCGCUCAGGUCAGCGAUGCCCGUCUAUCCCUCCCUGAGAAAUAUGAUGGGACACCAUCCAAAUACAUUGGCUUCCUCUUUCAGUGCUCCCUCUAAUUCACACAUCAAAUUGGAGCUCCCACCACUGAGGUCUAAGGUUGCCACGGUUAUUUUUCUGCUGACUGGGCGGGCAGUAGAAUGGGCUACGGCCAUCUGGGAGAGAGGAGAGGAGGAGCUUGAGUCUUAUGAGGGGUUCAUGGCUCUGUUUAAAUUUAUUGUCGAUCAUCCCGCGGAGGGCAGAGAGGCAGGUAAGGGACUGCUUCAGCUCCAGUAGGUAAAUCAGAUGGCUGCUGAUUAUACACUUACCUUCCGGACAAUAGCAGCUUCCAGCGGAUGGAAUGAGCCGGCGCUCAGCGCGUUAUUUAGAAGAGGUCUGCCCGAGGAGGUCCAGACGGAACUGGCCUGGUGAGAUGACAACCUCACCUUGGACGGACUCAUUGCGAUGGCCAACCAUCUGGAUAACCUCCUACGGGAGCGUCGGCAUCUACAUCACUUCUCUCUCCUUCGGCAAGUGUUCGGGUUCAGAGCCUGAACCCAUGGAGGUAGGGGUCACACGCAUUCCCGUGGCGGGACGACGCAGAUGGAUGCAGCUGGGGCUCUGUCUGUACUGUGGCCAGGGAGGGCGCCAGCGGUGUCCGUUACUUCAGAAUCCAGAAUCCACUGGAGCAGAGGGACGGUCACGUGACGUCAUGUUACAUCCCCUGGACCAGGAGUGAGAAUUCCAUCUACUGCUCUUCCUGUUAGACUCUUUUUAGUACCAAUCACUGGCUGACUUUCCCUCAUGCCCUGUGUCUACAGCUUAGUGGAUUCCGGUGCCGCGGGGAACUUUAUGGAUCAGACCCUUGCCUCCUCUCAAUAUUACUACCUACCCGCUCUCCUCUCCUUUUCCGGUUCAAGGUCUUGACUGUCAGCCUCUAGGAUCCGGAACCAUCCACACAUCAUCCAACCACUCACCCUCACCAUGAAGCCCAAUCACCAGGAGAACAUCCCCUUCUUCAUCACCAGUGCACCAGUUCACAAGAUCAUCCUCGGCCUAUCUUGGCUUCAGCUCCAUAACCCUACCAUCUCAUGGUCGAGGAUGUGAAUCACCGACUGGUCCCCUGAAUGCCGGAAGACCUGCUUUCCUGGCCCCUGUGGUUUCACGUCAGUUGAGAGGAAUAUUAGGAUUUAAGGGAGGUAUUCUCCAAGACACGCGCUACCUGUCUCCCUCAUCGCCCCUGGGACUGUGCCAUUGACCUGUUUUCUCUGUACAGAUGCAUCUACCCUCUUUCAGUGGCUGAGACCCAGGCCAUGGAGGACUUCAUUCAAGACUACAUUUCAUCCCCAGGUCCAUGUCCCCUGUGUCAGCUGGUUUAUUCUUUGUGGCCAAGAAGGAAGGAGGAUUACGUGUUUGUAUCAAUUACCGUGGACUCAAUGACAUCACCACAAAGUAUCGGGACCCCCCGGGAGCUGUUGGAGGUGAAGUUAGUGGAGACACUGGCUGCGGGUGCCAAGGAACCAUUCGUCAUCCUCACCGACAAUAUGAACAUUGAGUACAUCAAAUCAAAUUUAUUUAUAUAGCCCUUCGUACAUCAGCUGAUAUCUCAAAGUGCUGUACAGAAACCCAGCCUAAAACAGCAAGCAAUGCAGGUGUAGAAGCACGGAUAUGGACAGCGAGGAGACUGAAUCCGCUCCAAGUCAGGUUGGCCCUCUUCCUCACCAGGUUCGACUUCACACUGACCUACUGCCCAGGUUUUAAGAACAUGCCCUGUCCCGUAUCUACAAUUCGGGAGAGGCUCCUGUCCAGAGGGCUCCCAUAAUCCCACCCUCCAGAGUCGUGGGUAGAGCUGUUUGGGACGUAGAUGUGGACAUCCGCCAAGCUCUAGAGAGGGAGCCCACACCUCUGAAUUGUCCUCCUGCACGCAUUUACAUUCCCAAAGGGAUAAGGGAUCGGCUGCUGACCUUGCCACACAGAUCUGUAGUCGCUGGACAUCCAGAUCUUUCUCGCACCAUCCAUUCCAUCACUGAGAAAUAUUGGUGGCCCACCUUGGUGCAGGAUGUUACGCGAUAUGUCAACUCCUGUUCAGUGUAUGCUCAAACCAAGUCCCCCUGGAAUGCUCCAGCAGGGAAGCUCCUGCCGCUUCCCGUGCCUCAGCGACCUUGGUUCCAUCUAUCCAUUGACUUUGUCCAUUGACCCCUUCUGAUGGUUUCACCACCAUUCUGGUGGUAGUGGAUAGAUUCUCCAAGUCAUGUAAUUUAAUCCCUCUUCCUGGUCUUCCCACUGCUCUCCAGGUCACCGAGGUACACUUCCAGCAGGUCUUCCGGCAUUAUGGCCUUCCGGAGGACAUCGUCUCGAACCAUGGCCCCCAAUUCACAUCCCGAGUGUGGAGGGCCUUCUUGGAGAAGCUCGGGGUCAUGGUUAGCCUCACAUCUGGGUAUCGGCCUCAGUCUAAUGGUUAGGUGUAGAGGAUUAAUCAGGAGCUGGGGAAGUUCCUGAGGAGUGACGAACGACAGGGUGAGUGGGCACAUUUCCUUCCUUGGGCAGAGUACGCCCAGAACUCUCUACGUCACUCCUCCACUGGGUUGACCCACUUCCAGUGUGUGUUGGGUUUCCAGAUGGCCCUCGCCCCAUGGCCCGGGCCAGACCGUGGGUCCUGCAUUAAAUGAGUGGUUCCAGCGUGCAGAGGAGGUGUGGAACAAUGCGCACAUGAGACUCCAACGCACUGUCCACCGUCAUUGCAGUGAGACCCCUGUGUUCCAUCCUGGGGAUCGUGUCUGGCUCUCUACAAGGAAUCUCUAACUCCGCAUGCCCUGCAAGAAACGGCGCCCCCGGUUUGUGGGGCCAUCCAAAGGCCGGUGGUUCCUGGUCCCCUAGCUGAUGCUGUCCCCCACAACACACCACCACCACCCCCUGGACAUCGAAGGGAGCCCGGCGUACGCUGUCAGAUCCAUACUGGACUCCCGACGUUGUAGGGGUUGGCUCCAGUAUCUGAUAGACUGGGAGGGGCUCAGAGGCCCAUAGGAGCGGUGUUUGGUUCCGGUGGAGAACAUUCUGGACCACAACAUCAUCCGGGAUUUCCAACUUCGCCGUCCGGACCGACCUGCUCCUUGUCCUCAGGGUCAUCCUCCUGGUCGGCGUCCUCCUGCCAGAGGGAGGGGGGGGGUACUGUCACGUCUGCUCCUGCUCCUCCCCUCCGGCGUACAACGUCGCCAGAGUACUAAUCACCAGUCCUGGGAUUCAUCAUUACGCACACCUGUGUUUCAUUAUGAUUCACACCUGGACUCCAUUACCUUCAUAAUUUCCUCCCCUUUAUAUGUCACUCUCCCAGGUUCACUCACCAGUUGGUAUUCUUCUUGUUGAUGUCCUCUGGCGUUCUGCCUUAUGUUAGUGUCGUGUUCUUCGUUUUGUUGUUUUAUUAAAACAUUUCACCUGCA
Molecule: long non-coding RNA, 3759 nt
Organism: Oncorhynchus tshawytscha (Chinook salmon)
Lineage: Eukaryota; Metazoa; Chordata; Actinopteri; Salmoniformes; Salmonidae
Exons: 2
Source: RefSeq, a predicted model, not a curated record